ACGGUAACAGCACUUCGGUGGCUGACGAGUGGCGAACGGGUGAGUAAUACAUCGGAACGUGCCCGAGAGUGGGGGAUAACGCAGCGAAAGCUGUGCUAAUACCGCAUACGAUCUACGGAUGAAAGCAGGGGACCGCAAGGCCUUGCGCUCACGGAGCGGCCGAUGGCAGAUUAGGUAGUUGGUGGGAUAAAAGCUUACCAAGCCGACGAUCUGUAGCUGGUCUGAGAGGACGACCAGCCACACUGGGACUGUGACACGGCCCAGACUCCUACGGGAGGCAGCAGUGGGGAAUUUUGGACAAUGGGCGAAAGCCUGAUCCAGCCAUGCCGCGUGCAGGAUGAAGGCCUUCGGGUUGUAAACUGCUUUUGUACGGAACGAAAAGGUCUUUUCUAAUAAAGAAGGCUCAUGACGGUACCGUAAGAAUAAGCACCGGCUAACUACGUGCCAGCAGCCGCGGUAAUACGUAGGGUGCAAGCGUUAAUCGGAAUUACUGGGCGUAAAGCGUGCGCAGGCGGUUAUAUAAGACAGAUGUGAAAUCCCCGGGCUCAACCUGGGAACUGCAUUAGUGACUGUAUAGCUAGAGUGCGGCAGAGGGGGAUGGAAUUCCGCGUGUAGCAGUGAAAUGCGUAGAUAUGCGGAGGAACACCGAUGGCGAAGGCAAUCCCCUGGGCCUGCACUGACGCUCAUGCACGAAAGCGUGGGGAGCAAACAGGAUUAGAUACCCUGGUAGUCCACGCCCUAAACGAUGUCAACUGGUUGUUGGGAAUUUACUUUCUCAGUAACGAAGCUAACGCGUGAA
RNAcentral lists this ribosomal RNA (799 nucleotides) under uncultured bacterium. RNAcentral describes it as "bacterial SSU rRNA". It matches the Rfam family "Bacterial small subunit ribosomal RNA", at positions 66 to 863 of the family's 1533-position model. The record is from RNAcentral.